AGUUGAGCACGAUUCGGAUGAUCUAAUUAGAGUUGACAGUUUAACCCUGAGUCAUCCUAAACACAGAGGUCAAAAGGAUGAAUUAUACAGUAACCAUAUUCACGUAGGUUCUGAGUGUUGCGAUUGUGACUAUUCGACCUAUCCGGUCAUCGGGUACCAUUGCUAGAUGGUCACUUCGAUUAGUACAGGAAUUGGUUCCUGUGCUACCGGCUUAGGUUCGAACCUGCGGGGUCACACACAUUAGAGGUUCCAAUCUGAUCUGAUGGC
This 267-nucleotide long non-coding RNA is filed under the name Elaeis guineensis (African oil palm). Its description in RNAcentral is "long non-coding RNA (EGUI_LNC053662)". The record is from RNAcentral. Lineage: Eukaryota; Viridiplantae; Streptophyta; Magnoliopsida; Arecales; Arecaceae.